RNAcentral lists this ribosomal RNA (231 nucleotides) under uncultured bacterium. RNAcentral describes it as "partial 16S ribosomal RNA". It matches the Rfam family "Bacterial small subunit ribosomal RNA", at positions 15 to 237 of the family's 1533-position model. The record is from RNAcentral.
GAUCAUGGCUCAGGAUGAACGCUAGCUACAGGCUUAACACAUGCAAGUCGAGGGGCAGCUGGAAGUCAGCUUGCUGACUUUGCCGGCGACCGGCGCACGGGUGAGUAACACGUAUCCAACCUCCCGCAUACUCGGGAAUAGCCCUUCGAAAGAAAGAUUAAUGCCCGAUGGUUUCAAGGGAUUGCAUGGUAUCUUGAAUAAAGAUUCAUCGGUAUGCGAUGGGGAUGCGUU